AUACGUAGGAUGCGAGCGUUAUCCGGAUUUAUUGGGUUUAAAGGGUGCGCAGGCGGGCGAUUAAGUCAGCGGUGAAAGGCUCGGGCUCAACCGGAGCAGUGCCGUUGAUACUGGUUGUCUUGAAUGCGGUCAAGGCCGGCGGAAUGUGGCGUGUAGCGGUGAAAUGCAUAGAUAUGCCACAGAACACCGAUAGCGAAGGCAGCUGGCCGGGCCUGCAUUGACGCUGAGGCACGAAAGCGUGGGGAUCGAACAGGAUUAGAUACCCUGGUAGUCCACGCUGUAAACGAUGGACACUCGUUGUCGGCGACAGACAGUCGGCGGCCAAGCGAAAGUGAUAAGUGUCCCACCUGGGGAGUACGGUCGCAAGGCUGAAACUCAAAUGAAUUGGCGGGG
This 393-nucleotide ribosomal RNA is filed under the name uncultured bacterium. RNAcentral's name for it is "partial 16S ribosomal RNA". It matches the Rfam family "Bacterial small subunit ribosomal RNA", at positions 523 to 918 of the family's 1533-position model. The record is from RNAcentral.